RNAcentral lists this ribosomal RNA (487 nucleotides) under uncultured bacterium. RNAcentral describes it as "bacterial SSU rRNA". It matches the Rfam family "Bacterial small subunit ribosomal RNA", at positions 28 to 507 of the family's 1533-position model. The record is from RNAcentral.
GAUGAACGCUAGCGGGAGGCUUAACACAUGCAAGUCGAGGGGCAGCAUAGGGUAGCAAUACUCUGAUGGCGACCGGCAAACGGGUGAGUAACGCGUAUGCAACCUACCCUGUACAGGGGGAUAACCCGGAGAAAUUCGGACUAAUAUCCCGUAAUAAUAUCCGGAGGCAUCUUUGGAUAUUUAAAGUUCCGACGGUACGGGAUGGGCAUGCGUAACAUUAGCUGGUUGGUAAGGUAACGGCUUACCAAGGCUAUGAUGUUUAGGGGUCCUGAGAGGGUGGUCCCCCACACUGGUACUGAGACACGGACCAGACUCCUACGGGAGGCAGCAGUGAGGAAUAUUGGUCAAUGGGCGCAAAGCCUGAACCAGCCAUCCCGCGUGCAGGAAGACGGCCCUAUGGGUUGUAAACUGCUUUUCCAGGGAGAGAAACUUACGCACGUGUUGCGUGACUGACGGUACCUGGGAAUAAGCAUCGGCUAACUCCGUG